Molecule: unclassified non-coding RNA, 136 nt
Filed under: uncultured fungus
Lineage: Eukaryota; Fungi
Description: sequence contains ITS1
Source: RNAcentral
AUCUUUUUAUUUAUCAUUAGAUAAUUUUUUUUUUAUAGAGUGGGAUGUUUUAAAUAAAAGUUUGAACGCAAAACCUCGCGAAACGCAAGGUUCGCCAUAAUUUGUAAUGAUCCUUCCGCAGGUUCACCUACAGAAA